RNAcentral lists this non-coding RNA (25 nucleotides) under Mus musculus (house mouse). Lineage: Eukaryota; Metazoa; Chordata; Mammalia; Rodentia; Muridae. The record is from RNAcentral.
UAGCUUUUUCCACUAGCUGUAAGGC